UGACGGAAGGGCACCACCAG
RNAcentral lists this non-coding RNA (20 nucleotides) under Arabidopsis thaliana (thale cress). The record is from RNAcentral. Lineage: Eukaryota; Viridiplantae; Streptophyta; Magnoliopsida; Brassicales; Brassicaceae. RNAcentral also lists the same sequence under 1 other name.